Molecule: unclassified non-coding RNA, 150 nt
Filed under: soil metagenome
Description: partial internal transcribed spacer 1
Source: RNAcentral
CCGAGUUUACAACUCCCAAACCCCUGUAACAUACUAUCGUUGCUUCGGCGGAUCCGCCCGGCGCCCUCGGGCCCGGAUCAGGCGCCCGCCGGAGACCCCAAACUCUUGUAUUUCUUUAGGUAUCUUCUGAGUAAACAAGCAAAUAAAUUA